UACGUAGGGAGCAAGCGUUGUCCGGAAUCAUUGGGCGUAAAGCGCGCGUAGGCGGCCCUGUAAGUCCGUUGUGAAAGUCAAAGGCUCAACCUUUGAAAGCCGAUGGAUACUGCCGGGCUAGAGUACGGAAGAGGCGAGUAGAAUUCCUGGUGUAGCGGUGGAAUGCGCAGAUAUCAGGAGGAAUACCCAUAGCGAAGGCAGCUCGCUGGGACGUUACUGACGCUGAGGCGCGAAAGCGUGGGGAGCGAACAGG
Molecule: ribosomal RNA, 253 nt
Filed under: uncultured bacterium
Lineage: Bacteria
Description: partial 16S ribosomal RNA
Rfam family: Bacterial small subunit ribosomal RNA
Source: RNAcentral